This 527-nucleotide small RNA is filed under the name Pan troglodytes (chimpanzee). RNAcentral's name for it is "processed transcript". The record is from RNAcentral. Lineage: Eukaryota; Metazoa; Chordata; Mammalia; Primates; Hominidae.
GCGGCCGCUGGCUCGGCACCUUCCGACGGCCGCGCACUGCCGGCACCGCCGCCGCCCAGGAACUGACCGCAAACGAGGCCGCCAGACCUACACCCGCUACCAGACCCUGGAGCUGGAGAAAGAAUUUCACUACAAUCGCUACCUGACGCGGCGGCGGCGCAUCGAGAUCGCGCACGCGCUCUGCCUCACGGAAAGACAGAUCAAGAUUUGGUUUCAGAACCGGCGCAUGAAGUGGAAAAAGGAGAACAAGACCGCGGGCCCGGGGACCACCGGCCAGGACAGGGCUGAAGCAGAGGAGGAAGAGGAAGAGUGAGGGAUGGAGAAAGGGCAGAGGAAGAGACAUGAGAAAGGGAGAGGAAGAGAAGCCCAGCUCUGGGAACUGAAUCAGGAAACUCAAAUCGAAUAGGGAAGUAAAAAACAAAACAAAAAACAAAAAAACAAAAAAAAAAACCCUAUUUAAAUGAAAGGAGUUUAAAAACAUUUUUUAAGGAGGGAGAAAGGAGAAAUUUUGGUUUUUCAACACUGAA